UUGGAGGGCAAGUCUGGUGCCAGCAGCCGCGGUAAUUCCAGCUCCAAUAGCGUAUAUUAAAGUUGUUGCAGUUAAAAAGCUCGUAGUUGAAUUUCGGGGUUCUACCGUUGGUCGGGCAAUAGUCUGUACUGGCGUGUAGAAUUUCUACCUUCUGGGGAACUAUCAUGUUAUUUAUUUAGCGUGGUAGGAAACCAGGACCUUUACCUUGAAAAAAUUAGAGUGUUCAAAGCAGGCUUACGUCUGAAUACAUUAGCAUGGAAUAAUAAAAUAGGACGGUGGUCCUGUUUUG
This 289-nucleotide ribosomal RNA is filed under the name uncultured Gigaspora. RNAcentral describes it as "partial 18S ribosomal RNA". It matches the Rfam family "Eukaryotic small subunit ribosomal RNA", at positions 548 to 843 of the family's 1831-position model. The record is from RNAcentral. Lineage: Eukaryota; Fungi; Glomeromycota; Glomeromycetes; Diversisporales; Gigasporaceae.